GUAGGUGAACCUGCGGAAGGAUCAUUGUCGAAACCUGCAUAGCAGAACGACCUGUGAACAUGUAAGAACAAUUGGGUGUUCUAAGUAUCGGGCUCUUGUCCGAUUCAUAGGAUGCCAUGUUGACGUGUGUCUUUGGCAAGCCCCUUGGGUUUCUAAGGACGUCAUGUUGGCGCAAAAACAAACCCCCGGCACGGCAUGUGCCAAG
RNAcentral lists this unclassified non-coding RNA (205 nucleotides) under plant metagenome. RNAcentral's name for it is "partial contains small subunit ribosomal RNA, internal transcribed spacer 1, and 5.8S ribosomal RNA". The record is from RNAcentral.